This 326-nucleotide ribosomal RNA is filed under the name Cortinarius sp. 10556 JG-2015. RNAcentral describes it as "eukaryotic LSU rRNA". The stretch from base 1 to 71 matches the Rfam family "5.8S ribosomal RNA", at positions 84 to 154 of the family's 154-position model. RNAcentral also lists the same sequence under 1 other name. The record is from RNAcentral. Lineage: Eukaryota; Fungi; Basidiomycota; Agaricomycetes; Agaricales; Cortinariaceae.
GUGAGUCAUCGAAUCUUUGAACGCACCUUGCGCUCCUUGGUAUUCCGAGGAGCAUGCCUGUUUGAGUGUCAUUAAUAUAUCAACCUCUUCAGCUUUUGCUUGUUGAGUGUUGGAUGUGGGGGUCUUUUGCUGGUUUUUAGAAAUCAGCUCCCCUAAAAUGUAUUAGCAGAACAAUUUGUUAAUCGUUCAUUGGUGUGAUAAUUAUCUACGCUAUUGACGUGAGGCAGUUCAGCUCUAACAGUCCAUUAACUUGGACAAUUUUCAUUAAUGUGACCUCAAAUCAGGUAGGACUACCCGCUGAACUUAAGCAUAUCAAUAAGCGGAGG